CCUACGGGAGGCAGCAGUGAGGAAUAUUGGUCAAUGGUCGGGAGACUGAACCAGCCAAGCCGCGUGAGGGAUGAAGGUACAGAGUAUCGUAAACCUCUUUUGUCAGGGAGCAAAGGCUGGGACGUCUCCACGGAUGAGUGUACCUGAAGAAAAAGCAUCGGCUAACUCCGUGCCAGCAGCCGCGGUAAUACGGAGGAUGCGAGUGUUAUCCGGGUGUAGUGGGUUAAAGGGGUGCGCAGGCGGUCUGUUCAGUCAGCGGUAAAAGCCCGGGGUUAAACCCCGGCCCGCCGUUGAAACUGGCAGUCUCGAGUUGGAGAGAAGUAUGCGGAAUGCGCGGUGUAGCGGUGAAAUGCGUAGAUAUCGCGCAGAACUCCGAUUGCGAAGGCAGCAUGCCGGCUCCACACUGACGCUGAGGCACGAAAGCGUGGGUAUCGAACAGGAUUAGAUACCCCAGUAGUC
Molecule: ribosomal RNA, 459 nt
Filed under: uncultured bacterium
Lineage: Bacteria
Description: partial 16S ribosomal RNA
Rfam family: Bacterial small subunit ribosomal RNA
Source: RNAcentral